GACGAACGCUGGCGGCGUGCCUAAUACAUGCAAGUCGAACGAGAGCGCCCGGUGCUUGCGCUGGUCAAUCUAGUGGCGAACGGGUGAGUAACACGUGGGUAACCUGCUCAUCAGAGGGGGAUAACAUUCGGAAACGGAUGCUAACACCGCAUAGGCCUUCGAACCGCAUGGUUUGAAGAGGAAAAGCGGCGCAAGCUUCUGCUGUUGGAUGUUCCCGCGGUGCAUUAGCUAGUUGGUGAGGUAACGGCUCACCAAGGCCGUGAUGCAUAGCCGAACUGAGAGGGUGAUAGGCCACAUUGGGACUGAGACACGGCCAAAACGCCUACGGGAGGCAGCAGUAGGGAAUCUUCCGCAAUGGACGCAAGUCUGACGGAGCAACGCCGCGUGAGUGAAGAAGGUGUUCGGAUCGUAAAAAUCUGUUGUUAGAGAAGAAUAAGUGCUAGAGUAACUGUUAGCGCCUUGACGGUAUCUAACCAGAAAGCCACGGCUAACUACGUG
RNAcentral lists this ribosomal RNA (498 nucleotides) under uncultured bacterium. RNAcentral describes it as "partial 16S ribosomal RNA". It matches the Rfam family "Bacterial small subunit ribosomal RNA", at positions 28 to 507 of the family's 1533-position model. The record is from RNAcentral.